GACGAACGCUGGCGGCGUGCCUAAUACAUGCAAGUAGAACGCACAGUUUAUACCGUAGCUUGCUACACCAUAGACUGUGAGUUGCGAACGGGUGAGUAACGCGUAGGUAACCUGCCUGGUAGCGGGGGAUAACUAUUGGAAACGAUAGCUAAUACCGCAUAAUAUUAAUUAUUGCAUGAUAAUUAAUUGAAAGGUGCAAUUGCACCACUACCAGAUGGCCCUGCGUUGUAUUAGCUAGUAGGUGAGGUAACGGCUCACAUAGGCGACGAUACAUAGCCGAACUGGGAGGGUGGACGGCCAACCUGGGACGGAGACCCGGCCCAGAGUCCUACGGGAGGGAGCCGGAGGGAAACGUCGGGAAUGGGCGGAAGGCUGAACGGACCACGCCGCGGGGGGGUAGAAGGGUUUCGGAUCGGAAAGCUCUGUUGUAAGGGAAGAAAGGGUUUGCGAGUGGAACGUUCACACUGUGACGGUAUCUUAUCAGAAAGCGACGGCUAACUACGUG
This 505-nucleotide ribosomal RNA is filed under the name uncultured bacterium. RNAcentral describes it as "partial 16S ribosomal RNA". It matches the Rfam family "Bacterial small subunit ribosomal RNA", at positions 28 to 507 of the family's 1533-position model. The record is from RNAcentral.